RNAcentral lists this long non-coding RNA (2450 nucleotides) under Homo sapiens (human). RNAcentral describes it as "non-protein coding lnc-WDR45B-4:1". Lineage: Eukaryota; Metazoa; Chordata; Mammalia; Primates; Hominidae. The record is from RNAcentral.
UGUGGGUGAGGAGAGGCUGUUGAAGGUCGGGGGUGCCCUGUGUGGGGGGGGAGAGGCUGUUGAAGGUGAGGGGUGCCCUCACUCUGUGGGUGAGGAGAUGCUGUUGAAGGUGAGGGGUGCCCUCACUGUGUGGGGUGAGGGGAGGCUGUUGAAGGUGAGGGGUGCCCUCACUGUGUGUGGGGGAGAUGCUGUUGAAGGUGAGGGGUGCCCUCACUGUGUGUGACCACAGAGGUUUGGGGAGGAGUUGGAGCCUUUGCUGAGCUGACGUGGACUGCUGGCAGCAGGUGCACACAUUUUGAGGAGCUGUGGUGAGUGCGUCCCACGAGGCGGUCGGUUCCCCAUUCAUAGCCAGGGAAACGGAGACCCGGGGGAGAUGGACGAAGACAUUGGUGUUGGGACUGGAUUUGAUCCCAGGCCCCAGGCUGCAGCGUCUGUGCUUUACCAGCCCUGUGGGGUCCUCACCGUCCCGUACCAGGAGACUCAGAGUACCAGGGGCUUCAGGUCGUCACUGUUGCCACCUCUCCCCCCUGGUGAGAAGGACCCACGUAGCAGAUGGAGGGCACUGUUUUUUAAGGUUUUAUCUCCCCACCCGCCUGCAAGAGAGUGAAUGUUUGUGACCCCCCCAAAUUCGGGUGCUGAAACCUAACCCCAAGGUGAUGGUGUUAGAAGAUGGGGCUAUUGGAAGAUGAUUAGGUCACGUGGGGCUUUGUGGAUGGGAUGAGUGAAGCAUCCAAGAGCUCCCUCGCCCCUCCAGCUAGGGGAGGACAUGGGGAGAAGACACCUCCAUGAACCAGGAUGCAGCCCUCGUCAGACACUGGCUCUGCCUGGACCUUGAUCUAGAACUUCCAGCCUCCAGAACUGUGAUGACAAGUUUCUGUUGUUUAGGAGCUGCCUAGCUUAUGGUAUUUUCAUUAUAGCAACCCCACUGGCUAAGGUACUACCCUACCCUGCCCCACCCCCAGUUCUGAAGUAUGGGGUAAAGGGAGUGCCAUCCACGGGAGCAGAAUAGAUUCGGGAGAAGGGCCAAGUGCUGCUGUGAAGGAAGCCAGCGCUUGGUGGAGACCACGUCAGACAGGCGGCUGUCAUUGUCCUUUCAAAGCUGGUCAUUUGCCAGGGCAGGUUGUGGGUGUGGGUUAUGCAUCCGGGCUGUGCUAAUGGGAACUGCCAGCUGAAGAAGACACUGAGUCCAGUUUUGGUCAUGAUGGUGAAUAAUGAAAUCAUUAUCACUGAGUUCGAUUUUAUUUCCAGUUCUUGUUUAUUGUUAGUGAAAUUCCGGGAUGUGGAGGUCAUUGUACUUUGCUUGGGGAAGAUGUGAAAAUGCAUCCUUUGUAGCUUUUCCCAGUUUAGGGGGUGUCAGAUGUUUUCUCUCUCUCUCUCCAGUCAUUGUGCUUUGUGGGUUUUCUACCAGACAUUUUGGUGCAAACAAGAAAAUUAACUCAAAAUAGCUUCAGCACAGAGGAAUGUGGUGCCCCACACAGCCGGCAGGUUGAGGGGCUGGUGUAGUUUCAGGCGUGGCUGGAUUCUGGUGCCUGAACGAUGCCGUCAGGAUUAUCUCGUGUUGUUCUUUCUCCUCUGCCUACUCCCUGCACACACCCUGGCCCUGCUUUCUUCUGUGUUAGGUUCAUUCUGGGGUUCGUUCUUCCCACCUGGUGAGGAAGCUGGCCGGCAGCAACUCCAAACCAUACGAACGUUGCCUGCGAUGCCAGAGUGACGCAGGUGACAAGGAGGCCCCUCCCCCGUUCAGUCAGUCAUUCCCCAGGUGUUUUAGGUUGCUUUUUCUUUUCUUUUCUUUUCUUUUUUUUUUUUUUUAAGACGAGUCUUGCUCUGUCGCCCAGGCUGGAGUGCAGUGGCGCGAUCUCGGCUCACUGCAAGCUCCGCCUCCUGGGUUCACGCCAUUCUCCUGCCUCAGCCUCCCGAGUAGCUGGGACUACAGGUGCCCGCCACCACACCCGGCUAAUUUUUUUUUUUUUUGUAUUUUUACUAGAGACGGGGUUUCACCCUGUUAGCCAGGAUGGUCUCGAACUCCUGACCUCAUGAUCCGCCCACCUUGGCCUCCCAAAGUGCUGGGGUUACAGGCGUGAACCACCACGCCUGGUCUUUUCUUUUGAGACGGAGUUUCACUCUUUUUUGCCCAGGCUGGAGUGCAAUGGCGCGAUCUUGGCUCACUGCAACCUCCGCCUCCCAGCCUCAGUGACUCUCCUGCCUCAGCCUCCUGAGUGGCUGGGAUUACAGGCACCCGCCACCACACCCGGCUAAUUUUGUAUUUUUAGUAGAGUUGGGCUUUGACCAUGUUGGCCAGGCUGGUCUCAAACUCCUGACCUCAGGUGAUCCGCCCGCCUCGGCCUCCCAAAGUGCUGGGAUUACAGGCGCGAGCCACCGCGCCUGGCCAGGUUGUUGCGUUUUCUAGUUUGUCCAGUGUUGAUAGUCACAAAAUAAGAAAGAUCUUGGAC